This 306-nucleotide ribosomal RNA is filed under the name Triticum aestivum (bread wheat). RNAcentral's name for it is "partial small subunit ribosomal RNA". The record is from RNAcentral. Lineage: Eukaryota; Viridiplantae; Streptophyta; Magnoliopsida; Poales; Poaceae.
AUGGAGCUUGAUCGCUGGAAAGAUUAUCUCGGAGACGCGGUGGUGCCUGGACUCCCGAGUGGUCAACCGAUCAAAGAUUGUCUCCCUCUCACAGUAUCUAACCAUACAGUAGACAGUAUCAUGAUAACAUCCCAGGUCUCAAUAGUCACUAGUUCCAAAAGGUCACUAUCUUGGUCUGCUGGCACAGGUCAUUUUCGUGGUAGUUGCUCGCCUACUGCGCACUACUCUUCCUUAUUCAAAACAAAACUAGGUGUGGAUGUUAACAUAAAUAUUUUCAUAAGAAGCUUGACAUAUAGUACCAAUUAA